This 360-nucleotide ribosomal RNA is filed under the name Triticum aestivum (bread wheat). Its description in RNAcentral is "partial small subunit ribosomal RNA". Lineage: Eukaryota; Viridiplantae; Streptophyta; Magnoliopsida; Poales; Poaceae. The record is from RNAcentral.
AUGACACCCCGAUCCGGGCGACGGCAGCAGCGAUGGCGUCAACAAUCGAGUGUGCCUAACUCUGCAUCUAUAAGUGGCCUGUCUUCUUUGGACGGUCAGCUGCUUCCUCCUCACAUUGAAAUCUCGACCCCUUUCUUGUUGAUGGACUCUUUGACUGAUUCGUAUGUGCGUGGAUGCAGGGUGCAGCGAAACAACCUGGAGCUAGAGAACAUCAAGGAUAAGAUCAAGGAAGUUCUUGCCUUGUUGGCAACAUUGUUACGAGAGAUGAUGCUGGAGAGAUGCCCUUCCUAUAGGUCUGCACAUAAGCGGAAGUUCCUGGGUAUGCAAGAUUCGAUGGUUAAACUGGUUGAUGUGAUGUGA